Molecule: long non-coding RNA, 310 nt
Organism: Gavialis gangeticus (Gharial)
Lineage: Eukaryota; Metazoa; Chordata; Crocodylia; Gavialidae
Exons: 2
Source: RefSeq, a predicted model, not a curated record
CUUCCGAACCCGAGGCUGUGCAAGGUGCUUUAUUCUUUGAGACACUCUAGCUGUCUUCGCAGUGUCUGUAACAUGUGUUUCAGCCUGUGAAGACUGGAUGCCAUUUGGGGUUCUUUGGGUCACCUGGUCAUCUCUGGGAAGCAGUAGAAGGGAGGAGGACACCAUGAAGCAACUGCCCCAUCAGGCAGGAGGAGCUGCUGGCCAUGGAAAGGAAGAACCACACAUUGUUCACUGUGGCAUAUUCACAGUAUUCAGCUGCAGGCUGCCCCAGAGCAGCAGGUCUGGGAGAUGAACAUAGAGGUGGGAGACA